Molecule: ribosomal RNA, 250 nt
Filed under: uncultured bacterium
Lineage: Bacteria
Description: partial 16S ribosomal RNA
Rfam family: Bacterial small subunit ribosomal RNA
Source: RNAcentral
UCGAGAAUCUUCCGCAAUGCACGAAAGUGUGACGGAGCGACACCGCGUGAUGGAUGACACCCCUCGGGGCGUAAACAUCUUUUAUGAGGGAGGAAAUUAUUGACGUUACCUCAUGAAUAAGGGGCUCCCAAUCUCGUGCCAGCAGGAGCGGUAAUACGAGAGCCUCAAGCGUUAUCCGGAAUUAUUGGGCGUAAAGGGUGAGUAGGUGGUUUGAUUAGUCUUCUGUUAAAGACUCGGGCUCAACCCGAGA